UUGAAAACUUAUUUGUAGAGAAUUUUUUCUGAAAAUUUUUGGGAAACACAAACCAAACAAGGCCAAUAUUUUCUGUAGGCAUUUUUCUUUUGGUUUCUUAUUCUAUUUUAAUUUUCCAGUUUCUAAUAUCUUCAUUGAAGUGACACACCUUCCUUUAUAAUCUGCUAAUCGAUCAUUAUUGAUAGGCUAUAUCUUUGGGAACCACUACAGUAUUCUGAUUUAUUAGCACCAAAUCAUGUAGAAUUAGGCAAUGUUUUGAAAUUUCAUCAGGACAUAUGUUUGGUCAAUGGACUCAGUCGGUUCAUACUGGGUUAACUGACAGCAAGAAAUAGAUCAAUUAUCAAGUAACUUGGGGAGGAGCCACUCUCUUUAAGGAACUACUUAUGGUCUCUUCAAAACUGUCUUAAACAUGAACUGUUGAAUGCUCUCUGAACCAACUUAACAGUUGUCAUGUAUCCUGUACAAUGCGAUGUUUUGAAAAUUGAUUUAGGACAUAUGUUUGGUCAAUGGACUCGGUUGGUUCAUACUGGGUAAACCGACAGCAAGAAAUGGAUCAAUUAUCAGUUAACUUGGGCAGGAGCAACUCUUUUAAGAAACUAAUACGUUUUCUUUAGAACUGUCUUUAACAUGAACUGUUGAAGUAAAACAAAGCUUUAAGAAAGAUUCAAUAAUAAUUUCAUGAAUUCAUUGGUUUAAUUUUUCAUUCUUGCAUUUAAUCUCCAAGAUCCAAACCAGCUAAGAAAAACUUGUGUGGAGCUGAAUGGGGAUAUUAAACACCAGGUUCCAUACUCUCUCUCCCGGCGUCUCUUUAUUAACUACUGUUUUUUCUCCUGUUGCCUAUCUGUUGCCCACCUGGGGAGGGGCUGGGGGUUAGGGUACAGUGAAACAAGGGGUUCUUAAAACCUCAAGCCAAUAGAGAGCAGGACAAAAACCUCCUGGACAGAGACACCAAACCAGCCAAUAUGGUCAUGGUCAGCAUACGCAGCCUUUUGCUAACCCCAGGAAAAUGAGCCAAGACAAAUAUCUGAUCGAAGAGUGUGAACCACAUGCAAGUUGUGGAUGCGGACCAAAUAGAAUGGUAAACCCGUAGUGAAGCGGUUAAUAUACAUUUUAAUAAGUAAGACAAUUUUAAUAAAAGAAACAUCAAAAGCAGAUUGUGCCCAAAUUAAAAAAAGGUUAAACUGUGACAACCUUGGCUACACUGACAAAAGAUGCCUAGACUCUCAAAAGACUAAAGGUCUAUAGAUUCUUAUAAGUGAAAAGAAUCCACAAAAUGUACAAACGGUCGAGGUUUGGGAGAUCCUUCCCCGACAUCCAUCCAGACAAAAUAGACUAUACAAACUCUUAAAAGCCUAUGCAAAGGCUCCUCUACAGCUCAAAAAGUCCUCUUGUUUCGUUCCCUCACCAAAGCCACAUUAAACACAAAGCAGCUAGCCACCAUGCCACACCAUCUGCCUUUUGGCGUCGUUUCCCUUCCCUACCUUCCCACCACCUCAGCAUUACCCCUACCACAUCCCUAUGAAACAUCCACUCCAUCCCGAACACUGCUAAAAUCAACCCCCACAAUUCCUUUGGCCAUAUUGUACUGAAUUAGCAAAUGAAAAACUUAUUCACUAUCACACUUAGAGAGGACUUGUCGCCCCCUAAUUAAGUUAUCAUUUGUAAUUCUCAUGGGCUGUAUUCGACAUAUAAAAGCAACCUUCGAUGGAGCCCCAAAGGUCCAAAUGCCUUCGAAAGGGAAGGAGAAGGAAAAGGAUACUUUGUGGUAGGGUCAAGAGUACACUUUCUUGGUAUUGUGUAUAUGACAAGGUUUUCGCAACAAGUUUCAGUUUCGAGUUUUGUAAUAUCAACAAGAAGUAGAGAUCAUGCGAAUAAUCUUUGAUCCAAUAUGAUGUAGUGUUAUACUCUUUAUUUCUUCGUUCAAUUGUGGAAUCCUUACGUUAUUUGAUGAGAGCCUACUGCGUAAGCUAUUGUUUGCUACCCUUCCUUAUAAAAGACCCAUAUUACAUAGGCUUGGGUAUGGGUGUCAAGUACGGAUAUGUUUCCAAGUAUCAGAUUCAUCUAAUUUUCUUGUCUACGGACACCAAUAUAUAACUAAAUUUCUUAUUUCUUACGUACUUAGUUUUAUUUUUAAGAAUAAAAUGGUGUUUACAAACUAACAAGAGUAUUUUGUAGACAAAAUGGGAGUUCUAUGCAAAGUAAUGAUGCAAACUAGACUAUUAAGGCAUACUUAAUGGGUGCAUCUCUAACUAGACAUGCCGAUCACAUAUUUGAUAUCCUUACUUAUGCGUCGAGUGUCUGACACAGGUAUUUCUCAAAUUUGGAAGUCCAUGUAACAUAGUAAACGGCCAUACAAUCCAUUAACUUGCAGAAUAUCAUGUAUUUGAACCAAACCACUUUUUUUUUUUUGUUGCUUGUUUCUUUUUCUCGGUUGAACCUUCCACUGCUUUUUCUUGUACCCUUGAUUUGGAUUUCGUAAUUAUUUUUUGGUGUAAUUUGACUUGCCCUUAACUUUGUCUCGGUUGAUGCUAGCCUUAGUAUCUCACCAAUGGAUUUAUUUCUUAUAUUAUGUUUUCAGUUAGGUAAAUGAUCAAUCCAAGUUCUUAAAAUGUCUUAUUGCGAUGACAUCACAACAUCAAUUGUUUAAUUGUGUCUAUGGCGUUAGUUGCAAUGAUUGAUUUGUUUUGUUGGUAAGAACAUGAUAUAAUAAAAAGUUUUGGUAAGAAGGACAAAUUAUUAAUUUGAAGAUUUUUUAUUUCCAUUUUCACCCUUGCGUUGUUACAUCCUUAUACACAACCACCAUUGGACUGUCACCGAAAAAUUCGUUAGCGUUGGAAAAGUCGCCGGUGAUGGCUAAAAAAGUUGCUAAUGGUGGUGGUGAUGAUUUAGAUAGAUAAGCAGAUUAGGUGGGCACAUAGGUGGAUACAUGAGUGACACGUGGACAGAUAGAUGAAUAAAUGGGUGACACAUGGACAGAUAAAUGACAUUUGGAUAGAUAGGUGACCUAUGGACAAAUAGAUGACAAUUGAGCAAAUAGGGGUAAUCUGGUCUCUCACAUUGUUGUUGUAAUAUGGUCUUUCACAUUGUUGUUGUCCUUAUGGCCCCAUAAGUUUUAACCUUAGGCUCAACAUAUCUAGAAAUGGUCCUCUGGGCUGAGUCCCCUUGUUUUAUUCUAGUAGCACAAAACCAAAAUAACCAAACCAAACCAAAAAUUUGUUUCCCAACCAAUUGGAGUCGGUUACAUGAAUAAUUUUCUGCCAUUCCGCUUUAUCAAGGGCUAUAUACUCAGUUCAAUUUAAUAAAUUCAUAUCUCUUACUACAACAUCUCAUAUUAGUUUAGGUCUCCCCUUCCCUCUAGUAUUUAUAUUCAUAGUGAUUAUCUUAUUUUUCCUUACCGUUAUAUCUACUAGUACUCAUUGUAAAUGACCAAUGCAUCGUAGUCUGUUCUUUCUUGUGGUACUCCAACCAUUUCACAAAUGUAUUCGUUUUUAAUGCUUUCUUUCUCGAUCUUACCAAUUGCCAACUAUUCAUCUUAGCAUGCUCAUAGUAGCUACACUCAUUUGAUUAAUGUGUUGUUUCUUAAUUUUCCAACAUUACAAAAAGUAUUCUUGACCUUAUAGAUGUUCUAUAAAAUUUUCCUUUCAAUUUUGUUAGAAUUGUUCAAUUGCAUGUGUCAUCAAAUGCCCUUACUUUAUUUUUGUCUAUUGAGCUUUGUAUUGGUAUUUUGCGAGUCUUACCUUUUGUUAAGAUUUCACAACACCUUCAAUUAAAUUCUUGUUUUGGAAUUUAGAGUGGUUGAAUACGAUCAAGAUGGAAGCAUACCCCCAUUAUCUUGUGCUUUCUACUUGGAGUUCAAGUUUAUUUAACUUAAAUUAGUCCGAACUUGGAUUGGGUCCUGUUUCUCAAUGGCUAAAACCAAUGGGUCUCACUUUUUGAUCUAGAACCUAAUAUGACUGUUGCAAACUUCCUAUCUCAAUGAGUUGUUUGAACAAAGUGUCAUGAAAAAGUGGAUUUUUGGAUUGUUUUCAACAACACCUGAAUCAAUCCUUGAUAAGAUUCAAAGCUUACAAGGUUGUAAAAUUGAGUUUUAUUUUCUAGGUCAGAUCCACUUCAUUACAGCCUUGUGUUGCAUACCUCAUGACAGCAAUUAUAAUAUUUUUUUUUCCCUUUAAAUUUCUUGAGUGUGACUUGACAUGGAUUAUUUCUAGCAUUGCCUGUUGAGCCAUAGGGUAUCAGUGUAUCACUUGACAUAUCAGAUCUCCAUCACCUAUGAAUGUCAUUGCUUAUCAUAUCUCUUGAAUCUGUAUUUUAUUCCUAAAUAUUUGUAAACAUUAGAAAUAGUA
Non-coding RNA from Camellia sinensis, 4343 nucleotides. Lineage: Eukaryota; Viridiplantae; Streptophyta; Magnoliopsida; Ericales; Theaceae. The record is from RefSeq and is a predicted model, not a curated record.